Molecule: long non-coding RNA, 416 nt
Filed under: Homo sapiens (human)
Lineage: Eukaryota; Metazoa; Chordata; Mammalia; Primates; Hominidae
Description: non-protein coding lnc-UBR3-4:1
Source: RNAcentral
UGUUCAGUUCUCAUAAUCUUGCAGAUUUUCUAUGUACUAGUUCUAUUCAUUACUGAGCAAGGAGUAUGAAAUCUCCAACUCUAACUGUAAUUUAUUUGUUUCUCCUUUCAGUUGUAUUAGCUUUUCUUCAUGUUCGAAGCUCUGUUGUUAGGCACACACACAUUUAAGAUUGUUCUGUCUUCUUGGUGAAAUGACCAUUGUAUCAUUAUAGAAUGCCCUUCUUUAUACCUGGGCUUGUGAGAUCCUAAACAAAGAACCUACUAAGUUCUGCCCAGAUUUCUCACUUACAGAACAGUAAGAUAACAGACUUGUAUGGUUUUCAGCCGCUAACUUUGUGGUAAUUUGUUAUGCAGCAGUAGAAAAUUAAUACGGAUGCCUUUCCACAUUAAAUCAGUGCUGGCCUAUGUGAUCAGUAC